Molecule: small RNA, 27 nt
Filed under: Bombyx mori (domestic silkworm)
Lineage: Eukaryota; Metazoa; Arthropoda; Insecta; Lepidoptera; Bombycidae
Description: ovarian small RNA-37580
Source: RNAcentral
UUCUUGUACUUGCUGGGGUAAUGGUUC